AAGUCGGAAUCGCUAGUAAUCGUAGAUCAGAAUGCUACGGUGAAUACGUUCCCGGGCCUUGUACACACCGCCCGUCACACCAUGGGAGUGGGUUGCAAAAGAAGUAGGUAGCUUAACCUUCGGGAGGGCGCUUACCACUUUGUGAUUCAUGACUGGGGUGAAGUCGUAACAAGGUAACCGUAGGGGAACCUGCGGUUGGAUCACCUCCUUACCUUAAAGAA
Molecule: ribosomal RNA, 221 nt
Filed under: Escherichia coli
Lineage: Bacteria; Pseudomonadati; Pseudomonadota; Gammaproteobacteria; Enterobacterales; Enterobacteriaceae
Also listed under: 1 other name
Description: partial 16S ribosomal RNA
Rfam family: Bacterial small subunit ribosomal RNA
Source: RNAcentral